GACGAACGCUGGCGGCGUGCUUAACACAUGCAAGUCGAGCGGUAAGGCCCUUUCGGGGGUACACGAGCGGCGAACGGGUGAGUAACACGUGGGUGACCUGCCCUUAGCUCUGGGAUAAGCCUGGGAAACUGGGUCUAAUACCGGAUAUGACUUCACGGCGCAUGUUGUGGGGUGGAAAGCCUUGUGCGGCUAGGGAUGGGCCCGCGGCCUAUCAGCUUGUUGGUGGGGUGAUGGCCUACCAAGGCGA
Molecule: ribosomal RNA, 247 nt
Filed under: uncultured Actinomycetes bacterium
Lineage: Bacteria; Bacillati; Actinomycetota; Actinomycetes
Description: uncultured actinobacterium partial 16S ribosomal RNA
Rfam family: Bacterial small subunit ribosomal RNA
Source: RNAcentral